UACGUAGGGGGCUAGCGUUGUCCGGAAUCAUUGGGCGUAAAGCGCGUGUAGGCGGUUCGGUAAGUCCGCUGUGAAAGUCGGGGGCUCAACCCUCGAAAGCCGGUGGAUACUGUCGGGCUAGAGUACGGAAGAGGCGAGUGGAGUUCCUGGUGUAGCGGUGAAAUGCGCAGAUAUCAGGAGGAACACCAAUUGCGAAGGCAGCUCGCUGGGACGUUACUGACGCUGAGACGCGAAAGCGUGGGGAGCAAACAGG
RNAcentral lists this ribosomal RNA (253 nucleotides) under uncultured bacterium. RNAcentral describes it as "partial 16S ribosomal RNA". It matches the Rfam family "Bacterial small subunit ribosomal RNA", at positions 524 to 776 of the family's 1533-position model. The record is from RNAcentral.